CGGCGGGGUGGUACGACCCAAGCCUUUAUAACCAGCCAUGUGGAGCGUUCGCGCCCUUUCGAUCUCUGCGUUCGGCGGAGGGAAGGACUUGCGCGUGACCUGCAGCGCGGCAUCGGGGCCCAGGCGGCCAUGGAGGCGGCACCAGGACCGGGGCCGGGACACGCCGGGGCUGCGGAGGCGCCUUCUCGCAGAAAGAUGUCUUGAAGUAAAGAAGCCUGCUCUUCCCAGGUGGAUGUGACACAGCAGGUUGCUCUUCUGGGAUGGCCCGAAUCUGAAGGUCUGUGCUGCCACGUGCUGAUGGUUACUGAUGUCCAUCCAUUGCUGUUACAGCUCUGUCACAGGCCUUGUGGAAGGCAGUGAGACAGCAGAGCAGGAGAGUCUCCUGGGUGGUGAUGCUGCAGACAGCUGCUCUGGGGAGGAAGGAGUCCAGCAAACCCCAGGAGCUUUGGGGAAUGGUGUUUGCAGACACAGCGUGGUUUUCUGUCUGAAGGUGCUGAGAAAUCACAAUGGUUACACUGUGCUGAUGACACAAACAUUAAAGUGAUCUCUUGCGAAAAAAAA
This is a long non-coding RNA of Myiozetetes cayanensis, 561 nucleotides long. RefSeq lists it as uncharacterized. The record is from RefSeq and is a predicted model, not a curated record. NCBI's taxonomy places the organism in Eukaryota, Metazoa, Chordata, Aves, Passeriformes, Tyrannidae. The transcript has 6 exons.